RNAcentral lists this long non-coding RNA (2018 nucleotides) under Citrus x clementina. Its description in RNAcentral is "Citrus clementina (C. clementina) long non-coding RNA (CCLE_LNC000152)". The record is from RNAcentral. Lineage: Eukaryota; Viridiplantae; Streptophyta; Magnoliopsida; Sapindales; Rutaceae.
AUAUUUCGAAGCAUUUUUUUUUAAAUACAAGAACUAAAUAGACACUAAUCUUAAAAUAUAAGAACUAAAUGAACUUUUGCCCGAAUAAAAAGUAAGCCUUAGUUGGGUCAAUCCAUGGAAACAUCCCACCAAAUAUAAAAGGAACAAAAAAUGUAAGAAUUACAUAUUACUCCCAAAUAUAAGAGGAAAAAAAGAAUAUGUAUUUUAACUAAUGUAUCUGCAACUAAAUUACAUCAAAAUACACAGCAUUCCACUUAUCAUGCUCUUACAAUUCAAUUGACGUGGUCUCUUAAUUGAGUCUUAAAAAGUCUCUAAUAAUCAUUAUACCCAUGCCUAUGGUGAGAUAGAGUUUUCUUUAGUUAACUUCGUUUGAAUUUAUUAUUUCUUGUCCCAUCAUCUACUUCAAUUUGUCACUCCUAUGCAGGUUAAGAAUUAUCACUUCAUUUACUCACCCGAUUUUGGGCUUGAAUUUUAUGUCACAGGCUCACAGCCAUCACGGCUAAAAUUUUGCCCUCAGUGUGGCCGUAAAUAAAUGUCAUCUUAAUGCAAGUAAUUAUGAUUUCUUGACUUGUUCGUUCUUGCUUGUGUAUUAGCGUGGGCUUGAAAUUUUUCGUUCCAUUGUGUUUCAAUUUCUCACUACAACAAUGUAAUUAUUAUUUUUCACUCUAUUGUGAGUUUAGAACCGCUGCCGCCUACCGAGCUUUAAAAUUCCUCGCUUUAUCUUAAACUUGAAUUUCUGAACUUAUUAUUCAUUAAAGAAAUUGCAACUUGGAGUUGCUUUUACAUUUAUUGCGACAAGUUUUUAGUUCAAUUCGAAAUCGUAUUUGUCUUCUCAAAACUCAUAUCCAAUCGACUCUUUUUUGUGCUGCAUCGUGACAACUAAGUUGUGCAAAAUUGGACCAUCAAGAACGCAAGAUUUGUAGAAUAAGAAUAGUAAUCAUUAUCGGAAAUAGUGAAUAUAUAUGCAUGUAUGUAUGUAUGUAUGUAUGUAUGUAUGCAUGCAUGUAGAUUAACAACGUAUAAUAAAUUGAAAAUUAAACCUUAUAGCUUGAAAUAACUUGGCCCAAUGAAUAUAGGUUUGGUGGAAAGGGCACGGGUCGUGGGACCUUGUCUCAUUAUCUCAAGUUAAAUGUGAAUAAUCAUGAAAUAGGCUAUAUACCAUGAAUCUGUUGGCAUCACCCCUCGCCUAACACUUUAGUCAAUUUUAUUAUAGCGAUCGAUUGGCCAUUCCAAUCUCCAUUUGUUCAUCCGCAAUUCAGCUUUACUUCUCUUUAGUAAUAAAAGUACGAAGUAAUCAUAAGUGUUGAUGGACCACAUUCAAUUUCACUCAAGCGGGUUUCCCUGUCCAAUCUCGUGUGAGAUUAAAGGGAAAUCAGGAUAGAUUAAUUUAAUUAGAUAUUUAUGAUUGAUAAUUUCUUGAUUAACACGGGCUAAUCAAGAUUUAAUUGGGGCAUGCUUAUGGUAAUGGUCCUUUCGUUGGUUGGCAGGUUUUCAUACAACCGUAGCGAAAUUCCAUGAAAUUUCCUCUACAUAAAUUAAUGCUUCGAUAAAUUAAAAUCUUAGUUAAAUAAUAUGCUUCGCACAAUUCAGACUCAAGACUAAAAUGCUAAUUUAUAAUUCAAUUAAUUAAUAAAUUUUUCUUAGUCCCUACAACCAUCAAUUUAUCGAUGUUUUCCUCUAUACACAACCAAUUUAAUUUUCAAGUUUAUAAAAAGAUUGGCUGUUGUAAUUUGAAAUUUGUAACCACAUAUUUUUUACAAUAUUUUUAUUUUUAUAAGUUGAUUUUUUUUUCUUUUGAAGCACACUGGGAGCCUAUAACUGAAGAGAUUCUCAAAAUUUUUUAAUUUAUUUUAGGGUUAAUUCCGCCCUGCCCCCAAAUGUUUCAACAUAUUUCACCGCUUACCUAAAUGUUUCAACAAUGCCCAAUUCAUACCCAAAUCUGUUAAUUUGACCAUUUAUUCUAACGGUCAAAGGGUAAAUUUAGAAGUUCAUGCCCUAAAUAUUAUUUGAUGAUGAUA